Molecule: long non-coding RNA, 187 nt
Organism: Juglans microcarpa x Juglans regia
Lineage: Eukaryota; Viridiplantae; Streptophyta; Magnoliopsida; Fagales; Juglandaceae
Exons: 2
Source: RefSeq, a predicted model, not a curated record
GCUUCUACGAGCUCGAAGCCACAUUGAAAUGGUCAACAACUCUAAAAAAUCCUAGACGACCCUUCUUAGGGUGUUCAAAGUACAAUACCCAGGGCUUACCAUACUGUAAGUUUUUCAAGUGGUUGGAUGGUAAUGAAGUGAUUGAGCUAUAAGUUGAAGAAAGAAUCAAUGAACUAUUAAAGAAAGA